This 433-nucleotide ribosomal RNA is filed under the name uncultured bacterium. Its description in RNAcentral is "partial 16S ribosomal RNA". It matches the Rfam family "Bacterial small subunit ribosomal RNA", at positions 29 to 507 of the family's 1533-position model. The record is from RNAcentral.
AGCGAACGCUGGCGGCAGGCUUAUCACAUGCAAGUCGAGCGGGCCCUUCGGGGUCAGCGGCAGACGGGUGAGUAACACGUGGGAACGUACCCUUUGGUUCGGAAUAACGCUGGGAAACUAGCGCUAAUACCGGAUACGCCCUUUUGGGGAAAGGCUUGCUGCCGAAGGAUCGGCCCGCGUCUGAUUAGCUAGUUGGUGGGGUAAUGGCCUACCAAGGCGACGAUCAGUAGCUGGUCUGAGAGGAUGAUCAGCCACACUGGGACUGAGACACGGCCCAGACUCCUACGGGAGGCAGCAGUGGGGAAUAUUGGACAAUGGGCGCAAGCCUGAUCCAGCCAUGCCGCGUGAGUGAUGAAGGCCUUAGGGUUGUAAAGCUCUUUUGUCCGGGACGAUAAUGACGGUACCGGAAGAAUAAGCCCCGGCUAACUUCGUG